CGCGGGGUGGAGCAGCUGGAAGCUCGUCGGGCUCAUAACCCGGAGGUCGCAGGUUCGAAUCCUGUCCCCGCAA
This 73-nucleotide transfer RNA is filed under the name Anoxynatronum buryatiense. RNAcentral describes it as "alkaliphilic bacterium Su22 tRNA". It matches the Rfam family "tRNA". From Rfam's summary of the family: Transfer RNA (tRNA) molecules are approximately 80 nucleotides in length. Their secondary structure includes four short double-helical elements and three loops (D, anti-codon, and T loops). The record is from Rfam by way of RNAcentral. RNAcentral also lists the same sequence under 1 other name. Lineage: Bacteria; Bacillati; Bacillota; Clostridia; Eubacteriales; Clostridiaceae.